GAUGAACGCUGGCGGCGUGCCUAAUACAUGCAAGUCGAGCGAACGGACGAGAAGCUUGCUUCUCUGAUGUUAGCGGCGGACGGGUGAGUAACACGUGGAUAACCUACCUAUAAGACUGGGAUAACUUCGGGAAACCGGAGCUAAUACCGGAUAAUAUUUUGAACCGCAUGGUUCAAAAGUGAAAGACGGUCUUGCUGUCACUUAUAGAUGGAUCCGCGCUGCAUUAGCUAGUUGGUAAGGUAACGGCUUACCAAGGCAACGAUGCAUAGCCGACCUGAGAGGGUGAUCGGCCACACUGGAACUGAGACACGGUCCAGACUCCUACGGGAGGCAGCAGUAGGGAAUCUUCCGCAAUGGGCGAAAGCCUGACGGAGCAACGCCGCGUGAGUGAUGAAGGUCUUCGGAUCGUAAAACUCUGUUAUUAGGGAAGAACAUAUGUGUAAGUAACUGUGCACAUCUUGACGGUACCUAAUCAGAAAGCCACGGCUAACUACGUGCCAGCAGCCGCGGUAAUACGUAGGUGGCAAGCGUUAUCCGGAAUUAUUGGGCGUAAAGCGCGCGUAGCGGUUUUUUAAGUCUGAUGUGAAAGCCCACGGCUCAACCGUGGAGGGUCAUUGGAAACUGGAAAACUUGAGUGCAGAAGAGGAAAGUGGAAUUCCAUGUGUAGCGGUGAAAUGCGCAGAGAUAUGGAGGAACACCAGUGGCGAAGGCGACUUUCUGGUCUGUAACUGACGCUGAUGUGCGAAAGCGUGGGGAUCAAACAGGAUUAGAUACCCUGGUAGUCCACGCCGUAAACGAUGAGUGCUAAGUGUUAGGGGGUUUCCGCCCCUUAGUGCUGCAGCUAACGCAUUAAGCACUCCGCCUGGGGAGUACGACCGCAAGGUUGAAACUCAAAGGAAUUGACGGGGACCCGCACAAGCGGUGGAGCAUGUGGUUUAAUUCGAAGCAACGCGAAGAACCUUACCAAAUCUUGACAUCCUUUGACAACUCUAGAGAUAGAGCCUCCCCCUUCGGGGGACAAAGUGACAGGUGGUGCAUGGUUGUCGUCAGCUCGUGUCGUGAGAUGUUGGGUUAAGUCCCGCAACGAGCGCAACCCUUAAGCUUAGUUGCCAUCAUUAAGUUGGGCACUCUAAGUUGACUGCCGGUGACAAACCGGAGGAAGGUGGGGAUGACGUCAAAUCAUCAUGCCCCUUAUGAUUUGGGCUACACACGUGCUACAAUGGACAAUACAAAGGGCAGCGAAACCGCGAGGUCAAGCAAAUCCCAUAAAGUUGUUCUCAGUUCGGAUUGUAGUCUGCAACUCGACUACAUGAAGCUGGAAUCGCUAGUAAUCGUAGAUCAGCAUGCUACGGUGAAUACGUUCCCGGGUCU
RNAcentral lists this ribosomal RNA (1371 nucleotides) under uncultured bacterium. RNAcentral describes it as "bacterial SSU rRNA". It matches the Rfam family "Bacterial small subunit ribosomal RNA", at positions 28 to 1381 of the family's 1533-position model. The record is from RNAcentral.